This 17-nucleotide small RNA is filed under the name Arabidopsis thaliana (thale cress). Its description in RNAcentral is "ATSL131670". Lineage: Eukaryota; Viridiplantae; Streptophyta; Magnoliopsida; Brassicales; Brassicaceae. The record is from RNAcentral.
AUUGGGGGAAGCUGUAG